CGUACCGCUCCAAAGGCUCUCUAGGCUUCACUGUUAGCCGACCUUCUACAGUAACCAACUAUUCUCUGAACUCCUUCUAGACUCCGUCGAUAUCCGAGCUUCUUCGACAAUGAGAUUUAUACAGAAAUCGAACUCCAUCCGAGUUUCUACGACGGUCGACUACCUUCAAGAUUCCGAUCGGGCUCCUGUGAGAGCCAAACUUCUACUACGAGCGAUCUACUCCGAACUCCUACAGCGAGCUGUCUACUCCAAACUCCUACAGUGAGCGGUCUACUCCGAACUCCUAU
Molecule: long non-coding RNA, 287 nt
Filed under: Elaeis guineensis (African oil palm)
Lineage: Eukaryota; Viridiplantae; Streptophyta; Magnoliopsida; Arecales; Arecaceae
Description: long non-coding RNA (EGUI_LNC020227)
Source: RNAcentral